UACGAAGGGGGCUAGCGUUGUUCGGAAUGACUGGGCGUAAAGGGUGUGUAGGCGGUUAAACACGUCAGAUGUGAAAUCCCGAGGCUCAACCUCGGGUCUGCAGUCGAUACGGGCGGACUGGAGUUCGGCAGGAGAGACUGGAAUUCCUGGUGUAGCGGUGAAAUGCGCAGAUAUCAGGAGGAACACCGGUGGCGAAGGCGGGUCUCUGGGCCGAUACUGACGCUGAGGAGCGAAAGCGUGGGGAGCGAACAGG
RNAcentral lists this ribosomal RNA (253 nucleotides) under uncultured bacterium. RNAcentral describes it as "partial 16S ribosomal RNA". It matches the Rfam family "Bacterial small subunit ribosomal RNA", at positions 524 to 776 of the family's 1533-position model. The record is from RNAcentral.